RNAcentral lists this ribosomal RNA (461 nucleotides) under uncultured soil bacterium. RNAcentral's name for it is "bacterial SSU rRNA". It matches the Rfam family "Bacterial small subunit ribosomal RNA", at positions 922 to 1379 of the family's 1533-position model. The record is from RNAcentral.
UGCACAAGGCGGUGGAGCAUGUGGUUUAAUUCGAUGCAACGCGAAGAACCUUACCUACGUCUUGACAUCCACAGAACUUUCCAGAGAUGGAUAUGGUGCCUUCGGGAACUGUGAGACAGGUGCUGCAUGGCUGUCGUCAGCUCGUGUUGUGAAAUGUUGGGUUAAGUCCCGCAACGAGCGCAACCCUUAUCCUUUGUUGCCAGCGGUCCGGCCGGGAACUCAAAGGAGACUGCCAGUGAUAAACUGGAGGAAGGUGGGGAUGACGUCAAGUCAUCAUGGCCCUUACGACCAGGGCUACACACGUGCUACAAUGGCGCAUACAAAGAGAAGCGACCUCGCGAGAGCAAGCGGACCUCAUAAAGUGCGUCGUAGUCCGGAUUGGAGUCUGCAACUCGACUCCAUGAAGUCGGAAUCGCUAGUAAUCGUGGAUCAGAAUGCCACGGUGAAUACUUUCCCGGGCA